Molecule: ribosomal RNA, 482 nt
Filed under: uncultured bacterium
Lineage: Bacteria
Description: partial 16S ribosomal RNA
Rfam family: Bacterial small subunit ribosomal RNA
Source: RNAcentral
AUUGAACGCUGGCGGCAUGCCUUACACAUGCAAGUCGAACGGUAACAGGUCUUCGGAUGCUGACGAGUGGCGAACGGGUGAGUAAUACAUCGGAACGUGCCCAGACGUGGGGGAUAACGAGGCGAAAGCUUUGCUAAUACCGCAUACGAUCUAAGGAUGAAAGCAGGGGACCGCAAGGCCUUGCGCGUUUGGAGCGGCCGAUGGCAGAUUAGGUAGUUGGUGGGAUAAAAGCUUACCAAGCCGACGAUCUGUAGCUGGUCUGAGAGGACGACCAGCCACACUGGGACUGAGACACGGCCCAGACUCCUACGGGAGGCAGCAGUGGGGAAUUUUGGACAAUGGGCGAAAGCCUGAUCCAGCAAUGCCGCGUGCAGGAUGAAGGCCUUCGGGUUGUAAACUGCCUUUGUACGGAACGAAAAGGCUCUGGCUAAUACCUGGGGCACAUGACGGUACCGUAAGAAUAAGCACCGGCUAACUACGUG